This 286-nucleotide ribosomal RNA is filed under the name uncultured bacterium. RNAcentral's name for it is "partial 16S ribosomal RNA". It matches the Rfam family "Bacterial small subunit ribosomal RNA", at positions 337 to 640 of the family's 1533-position model. The record is from RNAcentral.
CCCUACGGGGGGCAGCAGUGGGGAAUAUUGCACAAUGGGGGGAACCCUGAUGCAGCGACGCCGCGUGAAGGAAGAAGUAUUGCGGUAUGUAAACUUCUAUCAGCAGGGAAGAAAAUGACGGUACCUGACUAAGAAGCCCCGGCUAACUACGUGCCAGCAGCCGCGGUAAUACCUAGGGGGCAAGCGUUAUCCGGAUUUACUGGGUGUAACGGGAGCGUAGGCGGCAGUGCAAGUCAGAAGUGAAAGCCAAAGGCUCAACCAUGGGACUGCUUUUGAAACUGUACAG